RNAcentral lists this ribosomal RNA (631 nucleotides) under Amycolatopsis sp. So3Pt_91. Its description in RNAcentral is "bacterial SSU rRNA". It matches the Rfam family "Bacterial small subunit ribosomal RNA", at positions 382 to 1022 of the family's 1533-position model. The record is from RNAcentral. Lineage: Bacteria; Bacillati; Actinomycetota; Actinomycetes; Pseudonocardiales; Pseudonocardiaceae.
CCUGAUGCAGCGACGCCGCGUGAGGGAUGACGGCCUUCGGGUUGUAAACCUCUUUCGCCAGGGACGAAGCGCAAGUGACGGUACCUGGAUAAGAAGCACCGGCUAACUACGUGCCAGCAGCCGCGGUAAUACGUAGGGUGCGAGCGUUGUCCGGAUUUAUUGGGCGUAAAGAGCUCGUAGGCGGUUUGUCGCGUCGGCUGUGAAAUCUGGAGGCUUAACCUUCAGCGUGCAGUCGAUACGGGCAGACUUGAGUUCGGUAGGGGAGACUGGAAUUCCUGGUGUAGCGGUGAAAUGCGCAGAUAUCAGGAGGAACACCGGUGGCGAAGGCGGGUCUCUGGGCCGAUACUGACGCUGAGGAGCGAAAGCGUGGGGAGCGAACAGGAUUAGAUACCCUGGUAGUCCACGCUGUAAACGGUGGGUGCUAGGUGUGGGCGACAUUCCACGUUGUCCGUGCCGUAGCUAACGCAUUAAGCACCCCGCCUGGGGAGUACGGCCGCAAGGCUAAAACUCAAAGGAAUUGACGGGGGCCCGCACAAGCGGCGGAGCAUGUGGAUUAAUUCGAUGCAACGCGAAGAACCUUACCUGGGCUUGACAUGCGCCAGACAUCCCCAGAGAUGGGGCUUCCCUUGUG